Molecule: long non-coding RNA, 6313 nt
Filed under: Gallus gallus (chicken)
Lineage: Eukaryota; Metazoa; Chordata; Aves; Galliformes; Phasianidae
Description: lncRNA (ENSGALG00010030053.1)
Source: RNAcentral
AUUUACCCUCCGCUGAGCUUUACUUUGCUUCGUACCCCAUUCCAAAACGCUCAUCGAGAUGGGGAGGGGGAGGAGGGAGGGGUGCUCACCCAAAUAGGAUUUACAGCAGCGUGUGGAGUCCUUGGCACUGGGGUUGGGACGGUCUGGGCAGACACACAGACGUGUCAGGGCCACCGGGGAUGAGCCUCUGUGUUCUGGUAGGAGCUCUGAGCCCAUCGUGGGGACAGAGGGGCAGCAACCAGCGUCCGGAUCCACACAACAGGAAACGUUGGGUGAGUGCUCAGGGAAAAUAGUCAGCAACGCUAUCUGAGAGCCAUAUCAAAGAGAUUUGGGCCAGAAGUGGACCCAGCUACUGUGAAGCUAUUAGCAGCAUCUCAGGCUUCCUGUGUACAGCGGGUUAGGGGGCGAGCACUGCCCACAUGUUUGCUUGCUGGAAUAGUCACCAGCACUGCCAUGAACUCACAGCCCUGAACAGACCUUCCGAAAGUAGUUCAGAGUGGAAGCAGCAGGAAGGAGGGAUUUUCUGGCCUGGAAUAUUUUCGCCCUUUAAGGGCUACAGUGCAAGAUCUUCCUUGAGUGGGUCUGUUGCUGGCAUGCUGGGAGCAAGCAUGCACCAACGCAUGCAAGAUGGCAAGAUGGGUGAGCGAGGCUGUGCAGAUAGCCUGACCUCACUCAGGGCAGCAACACCAGGACAACAGCAUUGGGAUCAUCACUGGGAAAGCUCAGAAAGCUCCAGCGGAGUGAUGUAUAAGGAAAAGCUGCAGUGCGGGGCAAAUUGUAUCUCCCAGCACCUGGAGCCUGCAGCCUCACUAUGAGGAGGAGGAGGAGGAGGAGGCAGUGAACCCAUCCCAUGGCAAGGCAAUGGGUGAAGUGGGCAUCUGCCUAAAUCCCAUCUGGCCACACACCUCAGAGCUGGAACAUGCAAGAUUUUGUUGAUGGGACCAAUAAUCAGAGCACAGUGUAAUCAGCCCCCUGGGAUGUCUGAGGCAAGCAGAAACUACUGGCUUCUUUCACAAAGCACAAAGCUGAUGUCUGAGUCGGCACGUUUGAUAACAAACGUGGUUUCUCAGAGCCCCUUUGUUAUCAGGUUGUGCUGAGGAGGAGCACACCAGGACACGAUGAUGCUGACAUCCAGAUGAGCACAGAAAUGAUAACAAAGCCCAGCAGGACAGUUUGUUCACUUCUCCCUCCAGCAAGGGCAUUGCUGGUGGUCUUAUCUCUUGCAAAGCACAAACCAGAGCAGCCAGGAGCCUUGCAUAGUUUUCCUGGGCUCCCUGCUGGAAGCACCCCAUGAAUGAGGUGCCCAACCCCAGGGCAUCAGGCCUGCAAGCAUCCCACCCUGAUGGUUGGGAGAAACUGCAGGAGUGGCAGCAAGGACAUUGGGAAGGGAAGUUGGUGAUACAGCAUUUGGGACUGCAGACUUUCAGAAUGCCCAGACCCAAGCUUGAAGUGUGAGGGACUCACAACUCCAUAUCAUGGGUAACCAGAGACCUGGAAGAACAAACCCAGAGAUGGUGCCAUACCCCAAAAUGAUCCCUUCCAAACCUGAGUGACAGACAUCCUCUCUUAUAGGGCCACCCAACUGGGAUAUCACCAUCCUUCCCAGGGCGUUCAUUCCAUCACAAACAGCUUUCAGGCUCUGGUCAUCAGGCAGAUUGUCCAGCUUUGGCAAUUCCAAGCCAUGUUCACAAGACACGGGCUAAUUUCUGAUAAAUUCUCACCAACUGAAUCCAGCUCUGCUAGAUCCUGUUACAAUGAGAGGGGAGAAGAGAUGGCAGUUGGACCACUUGCUGUUGAGGUCUUGGAUGUUGCAAAAGACUUUAUUCUGUCCUAUCUCCGGCCCAGACUGUUUUGCUGAGAUCUCAUCCCAUCCCUUCUCCUCCCUGCACAGAUAUACUCCAGCCAGGCUCCAUUUCAAAUCUCUCCUGGGUUGCUGGUUUCAAAGCUUUCCAAAGAGUAUCAUCAUCCAGGAGACAGAUGUCUAGGACUACUGGGCUUCCUUGGGGGAAAGCAGCACUGAGGAUGGUUUUGUGGUAGCAUCUUUGCACCAAGCCCUGCUUAAAAUGUAGACAGUGAGCUGGAAGCAGCAAAGAAAUGUUUAUGGAAUUGCUUUCACGGGCACUGUGCAUGUGGUGAUAGGUUUAUAAAUUAGGUCAUACCAUUUCCUGAAAUGUAUGUGCAACGUUCUGGAUAUUUAAUGGCAUAAAGACGUAAUUAGCUGCAGCUUUGGAAAACAGCGUCACCUUGAUUUGAAGGAAACUGUUAAAUAAGAUUGGGUUACCAUGCUGAGCAACCCAUUGCAAAGAUACAAUCUGAGGAGGGAACCUGACCCUGCCAGGAUUUCCUCUGCAGUGUGUUUGCAUUGUAUAUGCAUCUAAUCUGGAGCAAAUAUCUACAUUUCUCUGUACCCCAUUCAGACCUAAAGGAAAAAAAAAGUAAGCUGAGUAGCUUCACUGAAUGCUAAAAUAGAAGAAAUUUGUUGCAGGAAGGAAAUUUUAAGGUUAUGAUCUGCAUGGUCCCAGGUGCAUUUUUAAAGCAUCUGAAAUGUUAGAAGUCUCCUAUGUCCUCCAAGAACCUUGAGAAGAGAGAGAAAAUGCUGCAUAGCAAAGGUCUUUAGGAAGAUGGAAUGUGAAAACAGAUUAAAUAUAAGAUUUGGGAUCCCAAUGACCCCUACGUGUUUUUCAGUCAACAGCAAAAUACCGUGAGAGACUUCAGUCUCCUUCAUGUAACCAGCAAACCCCGAGGUAUCCUGAGACACCAAACCACUCUGGGUCUUCUAAACUACCCAACCACUUGUCCCCUUAUCUUUUGACCAACAAGGCUUAGUUUUCAGAGGAAGUGAAUGAGAUAUUUUAACAGGGUAAGCCAAGGCUGGUGGGAGAUGCAGAAUAGAUGCCCAUAUCCUGAGGUCACAUCCCCGUGCUGAAGGUAUGGCUACACACCAUACAGAAGUGUUUUGAGACCUCCAAAAUCAGCAGAAUUGCUAAGUGACAGGGCACCUAGAGCAGACAACUCACUGCAUUGACUGCUGACAAUGAGCUGACAGUGACACUUCCAGCAAAUAAUAAAUGGCUGAGAAAGAGGAAUUUGAAAUGCAAUGCCACUGAUGAGCCAAUGAGCAUGGGCACCUGGAGGGCACGGUCUCUUCUCCAUUUAGGAAUCACAGCUUUGCUUUUGGGCCCUCUUGACCCAAAAAGAAAACCCCAAUUAUGUACUAAUACAGAAACUGAGCAGUCUACUCUGUAGAGAAAUGUGUUGACAAAAAAUAUUGCUUUCAAAAGAAAUGUUCUUUAUUUUUUCAAGAGAGAAGGAAACCAGAUAAUUUUUCAGGGCCAGGAGAAGAAAACAAAAACAAAAACAAAAACACAAUAACAACAUCAGAAUAUCUUUGUUUUGUAAUGCUUGAAAAUAACUCUCAGGAGUCAAGGAGAAUGGUGAUAAAAAUGAGAAAUGUUGAAAAUGGGAAGAAGGGAAGGAAUGAGAGGGCGGGGUGCAGGCUUGUAGGAGGAGCUGCAAUUACUUGACAGAAAAACAGGGGUCUGCUGAAUCUGUAGGGUGUUUCAUUUACAGUCCUUUGGUCUGGAGAAGCACUGAACUUACACUGAACCCCAUCCCCGAGGUGAAACCUUCCCUCUCCCACCUAUGCAGCUCAGGCUCCCAAGAAGCACUGUUUCAUUCCCCCUCUCUCCCCUCCAUCCAUCUCAAUAUCCAUGUUCCCAAGUUGCCUGAUGUGCCGUUUAUGACAGAAAUAACCUGCCUUGGCACUGACACUUGAAUUUCACUUAAGGUUCGUCGCGUUAUUAAUGACAAGAUCAAUAUUGCCAAAGCCGCAGUAAGAGCUCUCGCCAUCCAUCUGCCUCCCACCCUCCCCUCCGAGGCGCUCCAUGUUUUAAUGCUCCAUCUUCUUUCAAGGGUAUGGGCUCAGCAUGGGAAGGAGAAUCUCCCGCUGCCGGGGACGCGGUGCUCAGUCCUUGGCAGCUGCCCCAAUGUAUUUCUCCCGAGCCUUGAAUGCUGAGUGAUGAGGUUUGGGAGAGGGAUAACCCACAGGCUCUGUCUAAUCAGAGAGACUGUGGUGGCCUUGCUGAACCCUCCCGGCACAAUUAGGUAAUCACGUUGGCAGACAAGCCUGAUUCAUGUCGCUUUACCAUCAGCAAAGGGAUAUCUAUCACCCCUGCGACAGACCCGUUAUUGCCGCAAACCACUUCAGCCCAACCGGUUAAAAACCCCUUGUAAAAGCAAAAUAAAAAAAGGGGCUUGGACAUAUUUUAUGGCAAAUUAACUUCUAACGUAUUCUUUCCUGCCUCGUAUUAAGAUCCCACUCUCAGCUGACACCUGCAGCAAGGCCUGUGUUCCUCAUGGCAUGUAAGGGCUCAAGAUCUCUGCAGACACUGUGGGACAUUCAGGACAAUGCUGAUUUGCUCUCACUUCUCUCCAUUGGCUCCAGAGGAACCCAAGCUUUCCAGGAAUGCCAAGGCAAAGGCACCCAAACUCAACCUGAAGCACCCAGCCUGCUGAUACCAAGCUUCUUUAGCUCUGUUCCCACUGGACCACCUAUGGAUGUCGAUGAAGACAACAAGGAGACUUAAUGGAUUCAAACAAGCUUUGGAUGAAUCCUUCAAAGCACCCUGGAAAUUCAGCUGUUUCCCCAGUUCUACUCUGCACAGAUCCACAGGUGGACCAGGAAUGGAUGGAGGAAUUAUAUUAGCCCCAAUGUGCAGUGCAGCACCCCUGCUCCUCAUCCAACAGAUCCUGAAGGGCCGUCCCCAAAUCUGUGGUUUUAUUGCUCUACUGGAAUUGUGCUCUGGACCUGAAGACUUCCAGGCAAAGCACAGAGCUUUUCCAUAGGCUCCAGAGGGCUCCUCAGGGCUGAGCCAUUCCCAGAACCGCCCGUCCCUGACCUCAGACAAGGCUCCAAUUAGGACUUUCAGUUAUUUUUCUUUGAAACAAACACAGGGCAAUGGGGAAAAGCAUCCUUAUCAUCUGGGGAUAUUCACAUUUUUACUACAUUUUCUUUCAGUUCUGAUUUUUUUUUUCCCCAGAACCAGUUAAUCCAUUUCUUUUGGACUUGUACCUUCAAGGCAAGAGCUGCAGCUCAACGUGCGGCCAAGCCAUUCCAGAAAAAUGCCUUCACUACAGAACAUGAACUUCCCAUUAUAGAGGCUGCAUAUGUGCUCUGAUUGAUCCCUAAACUGGCAUUUCAAUUUAUUUCCCACUGGAGGACUCAUUCAUUACAGAGAAAUAAGACUAUUAAAUGCAUGAUAAAGCACAUGCAUCAACAGACGAGAAUGGUGGUUACUUUACUGUACCUAUCUAAACAAUAGCUGAUAAAUAAAGCCAUUCAUGAUCACAUAGGACCUUUUAAAAUGAAUAAGGAAACAGUAAUAUGCUCAUUAUUAAAGCAGCUGAUUAAAAAAAAUAGCUUGCCAGCAUUAACACCACACACACUUUGCUGCUGCAUCCCUGGCUGUGGGACGGAGGCAGCUCGAAGGCACAGAUUGCGAGCAACCUGCCUGCAACCUGCCCAAGUCCCAGCAGCCUGCAGAUGUGUGCAGCUGUGCUGAUGUGGCAGCAGGCUCUUACCUCCAGCAGCAGGGAAAGAUGCCCAAAGGAGCCCAUGCAAGCUGCUUUUUUCAAGCUUCCAUCGCUUUUUCUUUAACUACUGCAUUGACUUUCUACCCAACAGCCUCUGGAGAGAAGCAGAAUAGUGGGGCAGGUGUAGAAUUCUUUAUACAUAUCAUAGAACCACAGAAUGGCUUAGGUUGGAAGGGACCUUAAAGAUCAUCGAGCUCCAACCCCAUGCAUAUGUACGUAUGCAUAUGGUUGGUUUCUUUCUUUUUUUUUUUUACCUGUCAAAAGAGGAAAGAUAGAGAUGGCAAAGAAAGACAAGACAUGGAGAAAGGAAAAUGAAGAGGAAAGGAGAAGUGGAUCUUUAUGAAAAUGAGGAGAUAGGUGUCCAUAAAGGCUCUGAAGCGGGACAUAAGAGCAGUGGCUUUGAAGUUUCUUUGCAAAUCAAACCAGGCUGGUCCUUUCUCUGCCCAUUUUUGAGGACACUGAACAGUCCCACCACUGCUACAACAACCCCAUAAAAAUUUACUGUCAGCUUUUUUUCUCUGUCCUUUUCCCCCACUUCGACCACAUCCUUAGACCUCCAAGAAGCCAAUGCCAGGCUAAGUAGUUGUGACAUAACUCAGCAGGUUUUCCUGAGCUCUAAUUGAAUUAUAAGCCAUCACUUUAUGGCCGCAUGUAAAAAUCCCACAUGUUCCUUGCACAGCAUAGUCAGUUCUUGGACCCAGUGGUGUGGCACUGGGCUGUG